AUGAAACUUCACCUUCCCAGAACUCCUGACAGUCCUCAAACUUUUCAUCUUCCUCUCUUUCGUCCUCCUCGUCUCCGCCGCUGGACAGAGUCACAAAGCCGUCCUCUCCUGACAGCAUUCUGUCUCUCUCUUGCUUCCACCCUGAGUCACUUCCUCCUUCGCUCUCUGAGCGGGCCCAAUAAUCGCUCCCACCCUGUUCCUCUCUGUCACUCUCUUCUGUGUUAUCUGUCACGUUCUCCCCCUCUGCAUCCCUCCGCCAGCUUCCCUCUAUCCCUCCAUCUGUGUCAGACAGAUGUUCCUUCCCUCCCUUAUCUAUUUCUCUCCAGACUUCACCCACCUCCUCUCCAUCUACACUUACACCCUCCGAUUCCCUCUCUAGAGCCCCCUUGUUCUCAUUUCUCCCUCCAUGCCUUCCUCUGUAACUGCUAUGGUCCAAAUACCUCUCAUCUGGUUCCUCUUUUAUUCUCCGCCCCCCUCUUACCCACUCAGCCUGUGACUCCAUACUCCUCUCUUGUUCUCUCCUCCGCUCUUUCUCCCUUGUGUGUCUGUCUCUGUCUACAAAUUCUUCUUUACUAUUCUUGCCCCUCUGUGGCUCUAACCACAUCCUUUUCUGCUCUGGCACUCUGCCUGCUGUCUCUCCUUUUCUUCUCUCCUGUCUCUCACUUCUUUUUUGCUCCCUUUGACUUCUUUCAGCAGCUCUUUCUGGAUCUGUCUGUUCAUCUACAUCUCUGUCACUUUCAGUGGUGCUCCACUCUCCACUGCUCUGGGCUCGUGGCGGCACCCUGGGAGCUGUGUCGCUCUGGGAUCUGCUGCCUCUGGCUGUGGUAUCAUCCCACCUUGGAUCUUCCUGUCUUUCCUUUGUUUCUCUGCCUCUCCUCUGCUCAUACUCUCUGUAUCUGUCACCCUCUCUCCUAUCAUCCUUCACGUCUCUCACACGGUCCUUCCAUCUUGCUCCCUCCCUGUCUGGCUCCCUUGCUCCCCUCCUGUCAGCCUCUCUGUACCUCUCCCUAUCCUUCUCUACUCCCCUCCUCCUGGAUCGAUCCACUUCUCUCUCUCUGUCCCUGUCUCUGUAUCUCUCCCUUUCCUCUUCCCGGUAUCCUUGCCUAUCUCGAUGUCUCUCCCUCUCUGUUUUGCCUGUGGUGUCCCCUUCACUUCUGCUGUGUUGAUAUGUCAACUCCUCCCUCUCUCUGUCCCUCACUCUCUCCCUCCUGA
This 1212-nucleotide long non-coding RNA is filed under the name Dicentrarchus labrax (European seabass). RNAcentral's name for it is "lncRNA (ENSDLAG00005001047.2)". Lineage: Eukaryota; Metazoa; Chordata; Actinopteri; Moronidae. The record is from RNAcentral.